UACAGAGGUGGCGAGCGUUAUUCGGAAUUAUUGGGCGUAAAGGGCGCGUAGGCGGCUAGACAAGUCUCGGGUGAAAUCCCUCGGCUCAACCGAGGAACUGCCCUGGAAACUGUCUGGCUUGAGGCCGGGAGAGGGUAGUGGAAUUCCCAGUGUAGCGGUGAAAUGCGUAGAUACUGGGAGGAACACCGGUGGCGAAGGCGGCUACCUGGACCGGUUCUGACGCUGAGGCGCGAAAGCUAGGGGAGCAAACAGG
Molecule: ribosomal RNA, 253 nt
Filed under: uncultured bacterium
Lineage: Bacteria
Description: partial 16S ribosomal RNA
Rfam family: Bacterial small subunit ribosomal RNA
Source: RNAcentral